AGGCUCUUUUGCCAUCGCUUUUACUUUUCUCUCGCUUCCAUCGUUUUGCAAGUUAGCGUCUCCUCCGUCUUGCACCAGCUUCCGUCACCACCGUCGCCGUCGCCGUCGCCGUCUACCUCCGCCACAUCCAUGCCAACGCCGUACGCUUCUUCUGCCAGGGGCCUCUCAUCCUCCGAUCCGAUCCUCGACCGCCUCGCCUCCUCCGAUGGCGCGGUGAAAUUCAGAGCCAUCCGCGAGGUGAAGAACCACAUAAUUGGAAACCGAACAAAGAAGCUCUCCUACAUCAAGCUCGGCGCCGUCCCCGCAGUUGCCGCCGCGCUCGCGGACUCCGACCCCAACCUCAUUGUCCAGUCUGCCGCCGCGCUCGGAAGCUUCGCCUGCGGCGUAGAUGCCGGCGUCCGUGCCGUCCUGGACGCCGGAGCUUUUCCGCGCUUGAUCGGACUCCUCUCCGCUCCCGACGAGAAGGUUUUGGAUGCUGCUGCUCGUUCUUUGCGAAUGAUUUAUCAAUCAAAACUAGCUCCAAAGUAUGAUUUUUUUCAAGAGGAAAACAUGCAAUUUCUUCUUUCAUUAUUGAAAAGUGAGAAUGAAAAUCUUACUGGGCUAGGUGCAGGCAUUGUUAUUCAUUCUUGCAAGACAAUUGGGGAACAAAAUAUAUUAUGCCACGCCGGUGUUUUAGAGAAACUCACUAGUCUUCUUGAUGGUUCUCUAAGUCAGCGAGAUGCUAGUCUAGAGUCAUUAGCUGCAAUUAUUAGAGACAACCCAGCAGCUGUCUCUAACUUUGUUGAACUUCGCUGUGGAAGAGCUUUACGUUCUGUUACUGACUUAACUAAAGACAAAUAUCCUCGAACAAGAUUACUAGCCUGCUUGUGCUUGAUUUCUGUGAAGAAUUCUUCGACAUGCUAUCUCCAAGAUAUAGGAAUCAAAACCAAAUUGGUCUACCUUUUGCUUGAGCUCCUUGAUGAUUCUGGUCAAGUUGGGGAUGAAGCUUCUUUUGCUUUCUCAAGUUUAAUUGCAGAGAAGGAAGAUUUGCAGAAGUUAGCGUUUGAGGCAAAUGCUAUUAAUAAGUUCAACUGCCUUUUACAAAAGCAUCCCAUACAAACUAAAAGGCUUGAAGGGGUACUUCUUGCCUUGGCUGAUCUUUGCUCAAAAUUGGAGUGCUGCAGGUCUAGUUUUCUUUCAUUGCAGGUCUUGAACCUAGUAAUUGAUGCCUUAACUCAUGAGGAUGCCAGUGUACGCACUGCAGCUUGCAUUUGCUUGAGAAGUGUUUCUCGCUCAAUCAGGAAUUUGAGUGCAGGUCGUUUUAUGAAUGAAAGGGUUGUUUUUCCUUUGGUUCAGCUUCUCUCUGAUCUUUCUACUUCUGUCCAGGUUGCAGCCCUUGGGGCCAUCAGCAAUAUAGUCGUUGACUUUUUGCCACAUAAAUCAACAUUCGUACAAUGUGGGGGCGUUAAAGAGCUUGUGCAAUUGACCAAGUCGAUGGAUUCAUCCUUAAGAUUAAAUGCUGUAUGGGCAUUGAGGAACAUGGUAUUCCUUGCAGACACGAUAUGCAAGGAAGGAGUUUUUGUGGAGUUAACAGCAUCUUCAAUGGCUAGCCUUAUUUGUGAUCCUGAACCUUCUGUUCAAGAACAAGCUCUGGCCCUUGUUCGCAAUUUUGUUGAUGGAUGUCUGUACUCUGUUGAGCAUGCUUUUGCUGAAGAUGGUAUCAUACUAGAUGCUGUUGGAAGACAGUUACAAAAGUCUUCUAAAAUUGAAAUUGGGAUACAGGGGAUGUAUAUUCUGAGCAAUAUUGCAAGUGGCAAUGAGUUUCAUAAGGAUGCAGUCAUGCAGCUACUCUUCCCUCAAGACGAGAAUGGGUCUCACUCUUUCUUUGAGCAGUUUUUGCAGAGUCCUGACAGUCGCUUACGCACAGCUGCAGUGUGGGUUGUAAUAAACCUCACUUUUCCUGCUAGUCCUGGUGCAUUUGGCCGGAUUGUAAAUCUGCGUAGUUUCGGCAUUGUUUCUCGAAUAAAGAAGAUGGUCAAUGAUUCUUGCAUGGAUGUGAAGCUUCGAGCGAGACUUGCACUUGGACAGAUUAUUACUUUUGGCGAUAGUUAAGUGCAUUAAUGUCCACUUUACCAAGUCCUUUGGCCAAGAACAAAGUGGAGAAAAGGGAUAUUGAUAGAAUUUAAUUUCUCAUAUGUUCUUUAUUAUACACUGUAGUCUCCAACCCUCUGCAUCAGCUUUCAAUAUGGUGUAUCAAUAUGCUUUAGUUUAUCUUUGAGUAAGCUCCUAAAUCGGUCUUCCAUAGAUUCCAGUGUGACCUCAUAAGCCGUCAAAAGAUUUUUGUCCUCAGUGUAUUCCUUCAGAAGACCCGAAAUGUCACCACAUGAUAAAUUGAGAUACAUAAAAGACGGAUUAGGUUACUGUUUUAUAUUUUUGAAAAGAUUAAUUGGGUGACAGGAAUCUUUAGAGGACUAAUGUGGUAACACAUUAAUCUUUUGAGAAAACCAGUGUAGGGGUUUGCUCUUUCUUCUAACCAGUCAGGGCAGUGUCAGAGCUUUGUGGUUCUGUAAGCACUCUUGGCCAGGUUACCCUCAAAAUCUCUUUUUUCUUUCUUGUGCACAAUAUGUAUUACUUCUUCUUUUUUUGUAAAUCAGGUGAUCAUAGACUCAGUAGAUUUACAGGCUUUAGUGUUGUAAGAUAUGAGUAGUAAAUCUCAAUUAGAACCGAGUUCAAUUUAAUUUUGAUUAUAUUUGCAAAUAGCAUAAUUGUCUAUGUUUCUGGCAUUCAUGCAUGCCUUGUAAUUUUCAUUUUCUUGGUUUUGUUUAUGAAUUCCUUGAUCUUCAGUUAAUAAAGUUCAUGAAUGUUACACAUCAA
Unclassified non-coding RNA from Vigna unguiculata (cowpea), 2853 nucleotides. The record is from RefSeq and is a predicted model, not a curated record. Lineage: Eukaryota; Viridiplantae; Streptophyta; Magnoliopsida; Fabales; Fabaceae.